AUUGAACGCUGGCGGCAGGCCUAACACAUGCAAGUCGAGCGGAUGAAGGGAGCUUGCUCCUGGAUUCAGCGGCGGGCGGGUGAGUAAUGCCUAGGAAUCUGCCUGGUAGUGGGGGAUAACGUCCGGAAACGGGCGCUAAUACCGCAUACGUCCUGAGGGAGAAAGUGGGGGAUCUUCGGACCUCACGCUAUCAGAUGAGCCUAGGUCGGAUUAGCUAGUUGGUGGGGUAAAGGCCUACCAAGGCGACGAUCCGUAACUGGUCUGAGAGGAUGAUCAGUCACACUGGAACUGAGACACGGUCCAGACUCCUACGGGAGGCGGCAGUGGGGAAUAUUGGACAAUGGGCGAAAGCCUGAUCCAGCCAUGCCGCGUGUGUGAAGAAGGUCUUCGGAUUGUAAAGCACUUUAAGUUGGGAGGAAGGGCAGUAAGUUAAUACCUUGCUGUUUUGACGUUACCAACAGAAUAAGCACCGGCUAACUUCGUG
RNAcentral lists this ribosomal RNA (484 nucleotides) under uncultured bacterium. Its description in RNAcentral is "partial 16S ribosomal RNA". It matches the Rfam family "Bacterial small subunit ribosomal RNA", at positions 30 to 507 of the family's 1533-position model. The record is from RNAcentral.